CAAACUGAAGAUGGCGACCGGCGCACGGGUGAGUAACACGUAUCCAACCUGCCGAUAACUCUGGAAUAGCCUUUCGAAAGAAAGAUUAAUACCGGAUAGUAUACGAAUAUCGCAUGAUAUUUUUAUUAAAGAAUUUCGGUUAUCGAUGGGGAUGCGUUCCAUUAGGCAGUUGGUGGGGUAACGGCCCACCAAACCUUCGAUGGAUAGGGGUUCUGAGAGGAAGGUCCCCCACAUUGGAACUGAGACACGGUCCAAACUCCUACGGGAGGCAGCAUG
This 276-nucleotide ribosomal RNA is filed under the name uncultured bacterium. Its description in RNAcentral is "partial 16S ribosomal RNA". It matches the Rfam family "Bacterial small subunit ribosomal RNA", at positions 77 to 353 of the family's 1533-position model. The record is from RNAcentral.